Molecule: ribosomal RNA, 384 nt
Filed under: uncultured bacterium
Lineage: Bacteria
Description: bacterial SSU rRNA
Rfam family: Bacterial small subunit ribosomal RNA
Source: RNAcentral
UUUUGGACAAUGGGCGCAAGCCUGAUCCAGCCAUGCCGCGUGAGUGAAGAAGGCCUUCGGGUUGUAAAGCUCUUUCGGCGGGGACGAAACGGUUCGUGCUAAUACCACGGACUACUGACGGUACCCGCAGAAGAAGCACCGGCUAACUACGUGCCAGCAGCCGCGGUAAUACGUAGGGUGCAAGCGUUAAUCGGAAUUACUGGGCGAAAGCGUGCGCAGGCGGUUAUACAAGACAGGCGUGAAAUCCCCGGGCUAACCUGGGGGCUGCGCUGAGACGGCGGGGCUGAGGCCAGAGAGGGUGGUGAAUUCCCAGUGAGAGGUAAAUUCGAAAUUGGAAGACACCGGUGGCAAGGCGGCCACCUGGCUCGGCCUGCGUGGCCAGAG